CAUUAAGUCAACAGAUUGCACAUGAAUAUCAACAAUCCUGCAAAAAAAGCCAGUCCCUUAAGAAACAUCAAGAUUGACAGUUGUCAUCAGAGAAAUGAUGAGGACCAGGAUCUUCAGGGUACCAUCUGGUGCUGUGUUUGAAGAAAAUGAGAAUGAGAGAUAUUUCCUCAAUAGAUGAAACUAUUGGCCCCAGCUCCAAAUUCACACUUGUUGCAGCAGUUAAUUCUGCAAAAUCACAGAAGGAAAAAAAGUCAGGCCAAGGUAGGUGGACCACGAGGUCAAGAGAUCAAGACCAUCCUGGCCAACAUGGUAAAAUCCCAUCUCUACUAAAAAUACAAAAAUUAGCUGGGCAUGGUGGCACAAGCCUAUAGUCUCAGCUACUCGGAAGGCUGAGGCAGGAGAAUCGCUUGAACCCGGAAGGUGAAGGUUGCAGUGAGCUGAGACUGUGCCACUGCACUCCAGCCUGGUGACAGAGUGAGACUCUGUCUCAAAAAAAAAAAAAAAAAAAAAAAAAAAAAAAAAAAAAACUCAGGAAAACUCCUCUUCUUUUUUCUUUUUUUUUGUCCCAGGCUAAGCAGAAAUGUACUGACUCAUUUUGUGGUUAUAUGCAUUAUUAUUCUCGUCUCAGGUCAGGACUGCUAGACUUAGAAAGAAUUCUGAUAUGAAUUGUGAUAUCAUUGUCUAACAGAAAGUGUAUUGGAAGUUGUUCACAAUCUCCAGACACUUGGCAGGUCACAGAGAGAGGUGCAGAGAGCUGCCUUUUUUCUUUCUUUUGGGUUCAGGAUUGCAUUUCUGAAGUUUGUCCUUUACCAUUUAUUGUACACUGACUUUUGCUGUUAGAUAACUGGUUUCCAAAAUUAGUGUGUACACAAAUUACCUGAGUCAUUUAUUAAACAUUUCCUGGCCUCCCCCUAGGGCAAUUUAUUUGUAGAUUUCAGGUGAAUCCUAGUCAUCAACAAUUUAGCUAAUACCACCCUUUCCCAGAGAGAUCCUGAGAUGGGUGAUCUGAAAACACCUCAUUUGAAACAUUCUAGGUUAGUGAAUUGAGUUUAUUGUUUUACAUAUAAAUUAUUUUCACUAUGCUUUAUCAUAGAGCUUGACCUGUUCCCAGAGGAAAUCUAUAGGCAUAAAAUGAACACAUGUGUUCUCAACGGCUUUAAUUAAAAGAGUGGCAUGCAUAUUUCAUUGCUAUUAACAAAAACAAAAUUGAUUUGCUUUUCUAGAUAAUUGAAUGUAUGAAAAUCUCAGUGCCUUCCUUCUGUAACUUAACUCUAUAAAUUCUGCAUCAUUUUCAUUUUAUAAGUGCUGGCAUGUAUUGUGAAUUUCUUUACAGCAAGAAGAAUGACUUAAUGUUUUAGAGUUAGUUUUGUUUUUUUGUUUUGUCCCAUUUUUUACCAAACAUAAAAUGGCCUAAAAUGAGUGCACAAUAAAAGUGUGACACCUUAAA
RNAcentral lists this long non-coding RNA (1447 nucleotides) under Homo sapiens (human). RNAcentral describes it as "HSALNT0309178". Lineage: Eukaryota; Metazoa; Chordata; Mammalia; Primates; Hominidae. The record is from RNAcentral.